GGGCCCAUAGCUCAGUUGGUCAGAGCGGGGGACUCAUAAUGCGUAGGUCCCUGGUUCGAGUCCUGGUGGGCCCA
This 74-nucleotide transfer RNA is filed under the name Candidatus Latescibacterota bacterium. RNAcentral describes it as "Candidatus Latescibacteria bacterium tRNA-Met". It matches the Rfam family "tRNA". From Rfam's summary of the family: Transfer RNA (tRNA) molecules are approximately 80 nucleotides in length. Their secondary structure includes four short double-helical elements and three loops (D, anti-codon, and T loops). Further hydrogen bonds mediate the characteristic L-shaped molecular structure. tRNAs have two regions of fundamental functional importance: the anti-codon, which is responsible for specific mRNA codon recognition, and the 3' end, to which the tRNAs corresponding amino acid is attached (by aminoacyl-tRNA synthetases). tRNAs cope with the degeneracy of the genetic code in two manners: having more than one tRNA (with a specific anti-codon) for a particular amino acid; and 'wobble' base-pairing, i.e. permitting non-standard base-pairing at the 3rd anti-codon position. The record is from RNAcentral. Lineage: Bacteria; Pseudomonadati; Candidatus Latescibacterota.